GGUGAACGCUAGCGGUGCGCCUAACACAUGCAAGUCGAGCGGGAUCUAUACGACCGAUCUCUUCGGAGUGAAGAUGUAUAGUGAGAGCGGCGAACGGGUGAGUAACAAGUUGGUAUCUGCCCCCAAGUCAGGGAUAGCCAUUGGAAACGAUGAUUAAUACCGGAUAGUCUCUUCGGAGUAAAAAUUUAUUGCUUGGGGAGGAGCCUGCUUUCUAUCAGCUUGUUGGUAGUGUAAUAGACUACCAAGGCUAUGACGGAUAACUGGUCUGAGAGGAUGACCAGUCACAAUGGAACUGAGACACGGUCCAUACUCCUACGGGAGGCAGCAGUGAGGAAUCUUCCACAAUGGACGAAAGUCUGAUGGAGCGACACCGCGUGAAGGAUGACGGCCUAACGGUUGUAAACUUCUUUUCUGAGGGAGCAUAAUGAGAGUACCUUAGGAAUAAGGGACGGCUAAAUACG
This 461-nucleotide ribosomal RNA is filed under the name uncultured bacterium. RNAcentral's name for it is "bacterial SSU rRNA". It matches the Rfam family "Bacterial small subunit ribosomal RNA", at positions 28 to 505 of the family's 1533-position model. The record is from RNAcentral.